ACCACUCACAUAGAUAUAAAGCAACAAUAAGGGAACCAGUAUACACUCUACACUCCGUAAGAUCUGAUAAAUGCCAAUACUAAGCUAAUAUAUAUGCCUGACCUACCUAGCAUAUCAAGCAAGGAAGAAAACGAGCUUGAAACAAAAGUGAAAAAAAAAUAAGAAAAAAAAAGAUUUCAUAAAACAAACAUAAAAAGAAGUUAAAUAAGAAUACCGGAGCUCUAAAAAGUCAAAAAAAAAACACAAAUAUAUGAAUAUAUGCCACGCAAUUUUUCCUCGCCAGAUUCCGAACCGCAAUAAACAAAGGCGCAAUGGAUACACACACACACGCACACACACAACACACAUACAAGGGAUGAAUAAAAAGAAAAGAAGAAGAGGGGGAA
Molecule: small RNA, 386 nt
Filed under: Histoplasma capsulatum var. duboisii H88
Lineage: Eukaryota; Fungi; Ascomycota; Eurotiomycetes; Onygenales; Ajellomycetaceae
Description: Histoplasma capsulatum H88 hypothetical RNA
Source: RNAcentral